UCUAUUUUAUUGAAAGAAUUUU
RNAcentral lists this small nuclear RNA (22 nucleotides) under Arabidopsis thaliana (thale cress). RNAcentral describes it as "snRNA_13028". The record is from RNAcentral. Lineage: Eukaryota; Viridiplantae; Streptophyta; Magnoliopsida; Brassicales; Brassicaceae.